AGUGAACGCUGGCGGUAGGCCUAACACAUGCAAGUCGAACGGCAGCACAGUAAGAGCUUGCUCUUACGGGUGGCGAGUGGCGGACGGGUGAGGAAUACAUCGGAAUCUACUUUUUCGUGGGGGAUAACGUAGGGAAACUUACGCUAAUACCGCAUACGACCUACGGGUGAAAGCAGGGGAUCUUCGGACCUUGCGCGAUUGAAUGAGCCGAUGUCGGAUUAGCUAGUUGGCGGGGUAAAGGCCCACCAAGGCGACGAUCCGUAGCUGGUCUGAGAGGAUGAUCAGCCACACUGGAACUGAGACACGGUCCAGACUCCUACGGGAGGCAGAAGUGGGGAAUAUUGGACAAUGGGCGCAAGCCUGAUCCAGCCAUACCGCGUGGGUGAAGAAGGCCUUCGGGCUGUAAAGCCCUUUUGUUGGGAAAGAAAAGCAGCAGGUUAAUACCCCGCUGUUCUGACGGUACCCAAAGAAUAAGCACCGGCUAACUUCGUG
This 492-nucleotide ribosomal RNA is filed under the name uncultured bacterium. RNAcentral's name for it is "partial 16S ribosomal RNA". It matches the Rfam family "Bacterial small subunit ribosomal RNA", at positions 29 to 507 of the family's 1533-position model. The record is from RNAcentral.